AUUGAACGCUGGCGGCAGGCCUAACACAUGCAAGUCGAGCGGAUGAAGGGAGCUUGCUCCCGGAUUCAGCGGCGGACGGGUGAGUAAUGCCUAGGAAUCUGCCUGGUAGUGGGGGAUAACGUCCGGAAACGGGCGCUAAUACCGCAUACGUCCUGAGGGAGAAAGUGGGGGAUCUUCGGACCUCACGCUAUCAGAUGAGCCUAGGUCGGAUUAGCUAGUUGGUGGGGUAAAGGCCUACCAGGGCGACGAUCCGUAACUGGUCUGAGAGGAUGAUCAGUCACACUGGAACUGAGACACGGUCCAGACUCCUACGGGAGGCAGCAGUGGGGAAUAUUGGACAAUGGGCGAAAGCCUGAUCCAGCCAUGCCGCGUGUGUGAAGAAGGUCUUCGGAUUGUAAAGCACUUUAAGUUGGGAGGAAGGGCAGUAAGUUAAUACCUUGCUGUUUUGACGUUACCAACAGAAUAAGCACCGGCUAACUUCGUG
This 484-nucleotide ribosomal RNA is filed under the name uncultured bacterium. RNAcentral describes it as "partial 16S ribosomal RNA". It matches the Rfam family "Bacterial small subunit ribosomal RNA", at positions 30 to 507 of the family's 1533-position model. The record is from RNAcentral.